GGUUAAGCGACUAAGCGUACACGGUGGAUGCCCCGGCAGUCAGAGGCGAUGAAGGACGUGCUAAUCUGCGAUAAGCGUCGGUAAGGUGAUAUGAACCGUUAUAACCGGCGAUUUCCGAAUGGGGAAACCCAGUGUGGCUAAUCUGCGAUAAGCGUCGGUAAGGUGAUAUGAACCGUUAUAACCGGCGAUUUCCGAAUGGGGAAACCCAGUGUGAUUCGUCACACUAUCAUUAACUGAAUCCAUAGGUUAAUGAGGCGAACCGGGGGAACUGAAACAUCUAAGUACCCCGAGGAAAAGAAAUCAACCGAGAUUCCCCCAGUAGCGGCGAGCGAACGGGGAGGAGCCCAGAGCCUGAAUCAGUGUGUGUGUUAGUGGAAGCGUAUGGAAAGGCGCGCGAUACAGGGUGACAGCCCCGUACACAAAAAUGCACAUACUGUGAGCUCGAUGAGUAGGGCGGGACACGUGGUAUCCUGUCUGAAUAUGGGGGGACCAUCCUCCAAGGCUAAAUACUCCUGACUGACCGAUAGUGAACCAGUACCGUGAGGGAAAGGCGAAAAGAACCCCGGCGAGGGGAGUGAAAAAGAACCUGAAACCGUGUACGUACAAGCAGUGGGAGCACAGAGCAAUCUGUGUGACUGCGUACCUUUUGUAUAAUGGGUCAGCGACUUAUAUUCUGUAGCAAGGUUAACCGAAUAGGGGAGCCGAAGGGAAACCGAGUCUUAACUGGGCGUUAAGUUGCAGGGUAUAGACCCGAAACCCGGUGAUCUAGCCAUGGGCAGGUUGAAGGUUGGGUAACACUAACUGGAGGACCGAACCGACUAAUGUUGAAAAAUUAGCGGAUGACUUGUGGCUGGGGGUGAAAGGCCAAUCAAACCGGGAGAUAGCUGGUUCUCCCCGAAAGCUAUUUAGGUAGCGCCUCGUGAAUUCAUCUCCGGGGGUAGAGCACUGUUUCGGCAAGGGGGUCAUCCCGACUUACCAACCCGAUGCAAACUGCGAAUACCGGAGAAUGUUAUCACGGGAGACACACGGCGGGUGCUAACGUCCGUCGUGAAGAGGGAAACAACCCAGACCGCCAGCUAAGGUCCCAAAGUCAUGGUUAAGUGGGAAACGAUGUGGGAAGGCCCAGACAGCCAGGAUGUUGGCUUAGAAGCAGCCAUCAUUUAAAGAAAGCGUAAUAGCUCACUGGUCGAGUCGGCCUGCGCGGAAGAUGUAACGGGGCUAAACCAUGCACCGAAGCUGCGGCAGCGACGCUUAUGCGUUGUUGGGUAGGGGAGCGUUCUGUAAGCCUGUGAAGGUGUGCUGUGAGGCAUGCUGGAGGUAUCAGAAGUGCGAAUGCUGACAUAAGUAACGAUAAAGCGGGUGAAAAGCCCGCUCGCCGGAAGACCAAGGGUUCCUGUCCAACGUUAAUCGGGGCAGGGUGAGUCGACCCCUAAGGCGAGGCCGAAAGGCGUAGUCGAUGGGAAACAGGUUAAUAUUCCUGUACUUGGUGUUACUGCGAAGGGGGGACGGAGAAGGCUAUGUUGGCCGGGCGACGGUUGUCCCGGUUUAAGCGUGUAGGCUGGUUUUCCAGGCAAAUCCGGAAAAUCAAGGCUGAGGCGUGAUGACGAGGCACUACGGUGCUGAAGCAACAAAUGCCCUGCUUCCAGGAAAAGCCUCUAAGCAUCAGGUAACAUCAAAUCGUACCCCAAACCGACACAGGUGGUCAGGUAGAGAAUACCAAGGCGCUUGAGAGAACUCGGGUGAAGGAACUAGGCAAAAUGGUGCCGUAACUUCGGGAGAAGGCACGCUGAUAUGUAGGUGAAGUCCCUCGCGGAUGGAGCUGAAAUCAGUCGAAGAUACCAGCUGGCUGCAACUGUUUAUUAAAAACACAGCACUGUGCAAACACGAAAGUGGACGUAUACGGUGUGACGCCUGCCCGGUGCCGGAAGGUUAAUUGAUGGGGUUAGCGGUAACGCGAAGCUCUUGAUCGAAGCCCCGGUAAACGGCGGCCGUAACUAUAACGGUCCUAAGGUAGCGAAAUUCCUUGUCGGGUAAGUUCCGACCUGCACGAAUGGCGUAAUGAUGGCCAGGCUGUCUCCACCCGAGACUCAGUGAAAUUGAACUCGCUGUGAAGAUGCAGUGUACCCGCGGCAAGACGGAAAGACCCCGUGAACCUUUACUAUAGCUUGACACUGAACAUUGAGCCUUGAUGUGUAGGAUAGGUGGGAGGCUUAGAAGUGUGGACGCCAGUCUGCAUGGAGCCGGCCUUGAAAUACCACCCUUUAAUGUUUGAUGUUCUAACGUUGGCCCCUGAUCGGGGUUGCGGACAGUGUCUGGUGGGUAGUUUGACUGGGGCGGUCUCCUCCUAAAGAGUAACGGAGGAGCACGAAGGUUGGCUAAUCCUGGUCGGACAUCAGGAGGUUAGUGCAAUGGCAUAAGCCAGCUUGACUGCGAGCGUGACGGCGCGAGCAGGUGCGAAAGCAGGUCAUAGUGAUCCGGUGGUUCUGAAUGGAAGGGCCAUCGCUCAACGGAUAAAAGGUACUCCGGGGAUAACAGGCUGAUACCGCCCAAGAGUUCAUAUCGACGGCGGUGUUUGGCACCUCGAUGUCGGCUCAUCACAUCCUGGGGCUGAAGUAGGUCCCAAGGGUAUGGCUGUUCGCCAUUUAAAGUGGUACGCGAGCUGGGUUUAGAACGUCGUGAGACAGUUCGGUCCCUAUCUGCCGUGGGCGCUGGAGAACUGAGGGGGGCUGCUCCUAGUACGAGAGGACCGGAGUGGACGCAUCACUGGUGUUCGGGUUGUCAUGCCAAUGGCACUGCCCGGUAGCUAAAUGCGGAAGAGAUAAGUGCUGAAAGCAUCUAAGCACGAAACUUGCCCCGAGAUGAGUUCUCCCUGACUCCUUGAGAGUCCUGAAGGAACGUUGAAGACGACGACGUUGAUAGGCCGGGUGUGUAAGCGCAGCGAUGCGUUGAGCUAACCGGUACUAAUGAACCGUGAGGCUUAACCUU
Molecule: ribosomal RNA, 2985 nt
Filed under: Escherichia coli
Lineage: Bacteria; Pseudomonadati; Pseudomonadota; Gammaproteobacteria; Enterobacterales; Enterobacteriaceae
Description: 23S ribosomal RNA
Rfam family: Bacterial large subunit ribosomal RNA
Source: RNAcentral